Molecule: long non-coding RNA, 884 nt
Organism: Ailuropoda melanoleuca (giant panda)
Lineage: Eukaryota; Metazoa; Chordata; Mammalia; Carnivora; Ursidae
Exons: 3
Source: RefSeq, a predicted model, not a curated record
CUGGCAGCAGGGGUGAGGAGGAUGGCGGAAGGGGGGCAAGUGGAGAUCGGGAGGGGGAUGUCAGAGGAGUUGGGGGACAGCAAGCAGGACGUCCUGAGGACCCCGGGAAGCUGUGGAACCUCCCUCCCGCAGGGUAGGUGGAGGCGCCCCCACCGCCACUACUCACUCGAGUCGGAGGCAGACCACGCACAGCCGGCGGAGACAGCAAAACCAGAUCGGAAAGAGCGCAAGGGCAGUCGGGGAACAGCGGCGAAGCGAGCGUCCGUACCUUUUAAAGACUCUCCCGCUUCUGGGAAUCCGCAACCUUCCUGUUCUUAAAGAGCAAAAUAUCUCAUCUAGACUAAAUAAAUGACGCUAGGAAAACGCCUCAUUCCCCAAGUGUUUUGCUCUUCCCACCGCGAGGGCACGGCUGCAUACGCUGUUGAGGGGGAAGAAACCUAAAGCCAGCCAGAAGCCAGGGCACCUAAAGGUCCAAGGAUGCCAGUGACAACGCAGGGGACCUCAUACCUGAGCUGCAGGAUGAUUUAUUGUUUUAGAUGAAAAGAAAAAUAAACAAUGCCGGCUCUAUCUAGUUCACGUUCUAGGCCUACUGAUGACCUCUGUGCCAGAAGCCACCAUCUUGAAGAAUUGAUACAUGGGAGAAUGGGGAGCUGGAAAAAGGCUGUUACGUAAACUAUUCCUCCAACCACAAAUGCAAGAGGCUGCUCUGGUCCAGAGCUUCUCAACCUGGACACUUGACAUUUGGGGCUGGAAGACUUGACGUGCUGAAGCAGAACCGAACUCCAUCAGCCUGUUAAGGGCUGGAUAUAAGCUCAACUGUAUAUGUUUACACAGACUUGCAAAACUAUCUGAGUCCUCUGUGAAAGGCCAUUGGGCUACCCUGC